RNAcentral lists this unclassified non-coding RNA (373 nucleotides) under uncultured fungus. RNAcentral's name for it is "partial contains 5.8S ribosomal RNA and internal transcribed spacer 2". The stretch from base 1 to 133 matches the Rfam family "5.8S ribosomal RNA", at positions 22 to 154 of the family's 154-position model. The record is from RNAcentral. Lineage: Eukaryota; Fungi.
UGGCUCUCGCAUCGAUGAAGAACGCAGCGAAAUGCGAUAAGUAAUGUGAAUUGCAGAAUUCAGUGAAUCAUCGAAUCUUUGAACGCAUCUUGCGCUCCUUGGUAUUCCAUGGAGCAUGCCUGUUUGAGUGUCACGUAAACCUCAUCCUCGCGAUGUUAAAACCGUCGCCUGUGGUGGACUUGGACCGUGCAGUAAUUGGUUACCGCUCGUCCUCAAAAGUAUUAGCUUGCGCUAGUUAGAGUGCUUGGAUCGGUGUGAUAAUUAUCUGCGCCGCUUCCUCAGGUCUCUUCUUUGGUGCGCUGCUUCCAGCCGUCCUUUGUGGACAAACACUCUUUUAAGCUUUGGCCUCAAAUCAGGUAGGACUACCCGCUGA